UACGUAGGGGGCAAGCGUUGUCCGGAAUCACUGGGCGUAAAGGGCGCGUAGGCGGCGCGGGUAGUCAUCGGUGAAAGUUCAGGGCUCAACUCUGAAUCGGCCGGUGAUACUCCCGUGCUCGAGCACUGUAGAGGCAGGUGGAAUUCCGGGUGUAGCGGUGGAAUGCGUAGAGAUCCGGAAGAACACCGGUGGCGAAGGCGGCCUGCUGGGCAGUAGCUGACGCUGAUGCGCGACAGCGUGGGGAGCAAACAGG
Molecule: ribosomal RNA, 253 nt
Filed under: uncultured bacterium
Lineage: Bacteria
Description: partial 16S ribosomal RNA
Rfam family: Bacterial small subunit ribosomal RNA
Source: RNAcentral